This is a long non-coding RNA of Gopherus flavomarginatus (Mexican gopher tortoise), 715 nucleotides long. RefSeq lists it as uncharacterized. Lineage: Eukaryota; Metazoa; Chordata; Testudines; Testudinidae. The record is from RefSeq and is a predicted model, not a curated record. The transcript is spliced from 4 exons.
UCUACCGCACCAGAAAUGUUUAUCAAAACCCAGGUUAAUUGCCAAAAUAGUGAGACUGCAAACUGAAAAUCCUGAUCAUCCCUAACAGAGCUAACAUAUGAUACCCAUGUUCAACAUAAAUAUUUCUUCAGUUUCUCAAAAGUUUCUCCAACAGCAGCACCUAUCUGUGAUCAUCAUGGUGGUAGUCUUGGGCAGACAGAAUGAAAUUUCAGCCGAAGAGAACUGCAAUAUUCCUACAGAAUAUGGUUCCAUCAACAUUUUCCUCAACCGACUGUAGCUUUGGGACCUACUUCUCAUGUGCUGUGGUGGAUGUGAUCAAGCCAGUUCAUGUGCUGAGACGGUCUUUCCAACAUCUAUGGGGUUAAUUUUGCAGCAAAGUCAGAAGGGAAUUGCUGUCAUUUCCAGUACAGGGCAGGAAGGAAAAAGCCAGCACAGAGCCGCUGUUAAUUCAGUGAAGAAACAUUGCUGGAAUACACAAAAUGGACAGGGCGCAGAAUCUGGCUGCAGAGGACAUUUGAGUGGAAGGUACUGGACAUGAGAGAGACUUAAGGCUGCAUUUGUUAUUCUUUUUAAAUCGUUCUGCCUAAAUUAAGCAAACUCACUUAACAUACAGAUUGUAACUUCUGGGGGAAUUCUGCGCACACAUUUUAAAAUUUCGCAACUUUCUGCAUAUUUUAUUUGUCAAAACAACACAAUAAAAUCAUGCCGGUUUCAA